UGGGGAAUAUUGCGCAUGGGCGAAGCCUGACGCAGCGACGCCGCGUGGAGGAUGAAGGUCUUAGGAUUGUAAACUUCUGUUAGUGGGAAGAAAAGUCUGCGCUUAAUACGCGCUAGAAAUGACGGUACCAUUAGAGAAAGCACCGGCUAACUUCGUGC
Molecule: ribosomal RNA, 158 nt
Filed under: uncultured bacterium
Lineage: Bacteria
Description: partial 16S ribosomal RNA
Rfam family: Bacterial small subunit ribosomal RNA
Source: RNAcentral